This is a long non-coding RNA of Nyctereutes procyonoides (raccoon dog), 394 nucleotides long. RefSeq lists it as uncharacterized. The record is from RefSeq and is a predicted model, not a curated record. Lineage: Eukaryota; Metazoa; Chordata; Mammalia; Carnivora; Canidae. The transcript has 3 exons.
UCCCCUGUCUCCGUGGUCUUCCGACAGUGGUAAAGUGGAAGAAACUGAGGCACGGUGAGACACAAAAGUAUCUGGGACUGAGGAGAAGACAGAGAGAGAUUCACUUAAGGGGAUUGAAGGUGAGAGGAUUCGGCGACCUGAAGUUCGGACAGCAUGUAACUCUGAAGGAGGUGGACAAACAGCAUUGCUCAUGACUCACGGAAGACAUCGCUGGUCCCCACCCAGUAUCCAUCCUGACCCUGCUUUAGUUGUGGGCGUCAGUAGAAAAUACACCAUUGGGGAUCCCUGGGUGCCUCAGCAGUUUAGCGCCUGCCUUUGGCCCAGGGCGCGAUCCUGGAGUCCCGGGAUUGAGUCCCAUGUCGGGCUCCUGGCAUGGAACCUGCUUCUCCCUCCU